This is a long non-coding RNA of Nematostella vectensis (starlet sea anemone), 1626 nucleotides long. RefSeq lists it as uncharacterized. The record is from RefSeq and is a predicted model, not a curated record. The transcript has 4 exons. Lineage: Eukaryota; Metazoa; Cnidaria; Anthozoa; Actiniaria; Edwardsiidae.
AUAUCCACAGAAAAGAGGGUAAAAUCCAUUGCAAAUGGAGGCCCUUUGGCUUGAUGAUGACAUUGGCACGGGUGUUACCGCUGUGCAUGUGUGUGCGCACGCGUCGUUCUGAUAACGGAGUCGUUUCAGCUGGUAGUGUGUUUAAGGAGCUUAGGCUUUUAUGUUGACACAUCCGCCGUAAUAUAAACUUUAUGUGUCUCUCUAGUAAACGCUAAAAGUACUCAAUGUGCUAGUAGAUAGUACGUUGGAAAUUCUCUAAAUUGAACUUGGAUAACUCGAAUUCUAUUUACUCAAACUGCACCGCUCGAUUUCCCUUGAAUUUGCCUCAGUAAAUUUCAUAAUGAUCUUUUUGUGUUCCUUGGCAAUAUUUCACCUAUUCACUUGAGUGGGAUAAAACUUUGUUCUAGUGACUCCUCUAGACAUGUUGACCAAAUUGUUUUUUCAAUCAAUCAAUUUUUUUAUUGGUAAAACUUGGUUAUAACAUACAUCGGAAGAGCCGAAGCCGGAGGCUUAAUUGGCUUAACGUCAGAUAUAUUAAGAGUCAGGAGUUGCUUUUUGAUAUAGUGAGCUCUACCACGUAUUUGUCUGGGCAAAGAUACCUUGGCCACAGGAGCGGAUCCAGGAUUUCCAAAUAGGGGAUGGAAAAUGGCCGGAUAGAUGGCUGAUUCAGUAGUUCUUGGUAGGUCACAUAGAUCUAACAAUCCUUCACGCUGAAUUGGAUUAGUCGAAUCAGCAAAGUACCUCCUGUCCCUCAGACAUUUAUUUUCUUCAAACAAAGUGACGUUUCUAUUUUGUUUGACUCACAAAGGGGUUUGGGUAUCCACCCAAUCCCCCUGCUGUAUCCGUCCCUGGGCCACCAGUUAUAUGAAAAUGUGAGCAACUUAUUUAUGCAUUUUAAAUCGAAAACGGUAACUGCUCUCAAAAUAUUUGUUGUCAUUCUAGCGGCGUGUAAGUGUUGUAUCAAAGAAGAGAGGGAAUGUAUCAUAAAUGAGACUACAAUCUCUGUGUAAAUCCCCAAAACAUUUGGAAAUAAUGAAUGCAAUUCAUUCGUUAAGUAGUUUUGUUUUGAAAAUAGAAUUGUGUCGGAAAGAGUUCACAAAUUAAUGACAACGAAAUCCGUAUGAAUCUUUCAUCUUCCAUUUGCCUCGAUGAUCUCCCCCUCCCCUCAACCCUUCCGCAAGAUGAAAGUUUAGAUAUGCAGCCGGCUAUCGGUUAUAUUGUUUAAUAUCGCACGGCGAUCUAGAAGGAAUUAGUUUAGUCUGAGAUAGCAGGAUCGGCGCAACACGAAAAAGCCAUUCGCGAUCAAUAAGUAAGGACUGAUAACCGGGAUUCGCGUACAUUACGGAUUAUUCUAAGCUAUGCCUUAAAGUUUGAUAGAAGCAGAAAGCUGGACAAUCUUGCAGGUGUUUCAUAGGGCGAAGACCCUGCUAGCACAAAACCAGAACCACAAGCGAAUAAGAGAAAGCAAUCGUAACAUUGAUUACAGAAAGAUUUCUUUGAUGCAAGUCUUCAAACAACAGAUGUAAAUGUAGUUAGAAGUAAAGAAAUAAGCUAGAGAAUUGUAUUAAAAUUCAAUGUUUGUGAACUUUAUUUUAUCAAUGUCAUUAAAAAAAUCAUAUGAAAAUA